UACGUAGGGUGCAAGCGUUGUCCGGAAUUAUUGGGCGUAAAGAGCUCGUAGGCGGUUUGUCGCGUCUGCUGUGAAAACUCGGGGCUUAACCCCGGGCCUGCAGUGGGUACGGGCAGACUAUAGUGCGGUAGGGGAGACUGGAAUUCCUGGUGUAGCGGUGAAAUGCGCAGAUAUCAGGAGGAACACCGGUGGCGAAGGCGGGUCUCUGGGCCGUAACUGACGCUGAGGAGCGAAAGCGUGGGGAGCGAACAGG
RNAcentral lists this ribosomal RNA (253 nucleotides) under uncultured bacterium. RNAcentral describes it as "partial 16S ribosomal RNA". It matches the Rfam family "Bacterial small subunit ribosomal RNA", at positions 524 to 776 of the family's 1533-position model. The record is from RNAcentral.